UGGGGAAUAUUGCGCAAUGGGCGGAAGCCUGACGCAGCGACGCCGCGUGAGGGAUGAAGGUCUUCGGAUUGUAAACCUCUUUCAGUAGGGACGAAUUUGACGGUACCUGCAGAAGAAGCACCGGCCAACUACGUGCCAGCAGCCGCGGUAAUACGUAGGGUGCGAGCGUUGUCCGGAAUUAUUGGGCGUAAAGAGCUCGUAGGCGGUUCGUCGCGUCGAAUGUGAAAACCCGGGGCUCAACUCCGGGCCUGCAUUCGAUACGGGCGGACUAGAGUUCGGUAGGGGAGACUGGAAUUCCUGGUGUAGCGGUGAAAUGCGCAGAUAUCAGGAGGAACACCGGUGGCGAAGGCGGGUCUCUGGGCCGAUACUGACGCUGAGGAGCGAAAGCGUGGGGAGCGAACAG
Molecule: ribosomal RNA, 403 nt
Filed under: uncultured bacterium
Lineage: Bacteria
Description: bacterial SSU rRNA
Rfam family: Bacterial small subunit ribosomal RNA
Source: RNAcentral